AUGAUCAAUAGCUCCGCACCAGCACACCUCCGUAAAGGGACAAACUCCCUCAUUGCCCUCACUGCCUGGUCCAUCUGGAAACACCGGAACGCUGCCGUGUUUGACAAUUCCCGGCCAUCAAACAACGAUCUUGCUCGCACAAUCAAAGACGAGGCUCUCUUGUGGGCACAUGCAGGAGCAACUAGGCUAGCAUCAAUUAUUCCCGUAACCUGA
Molecule: ribosomal RNA, 213 nt
Filed under: Triticum aestivum (bread wheat)
Lineage: Eukaryota; Viridiplantae; Streptophyta; Magnoliopsida; Poales; Poaceae
Description: partial small subunit ribosomal RNA
Source: RNAcentral